Molecule: ribosomal RNA, 604 nt
Filed under: uncultured Rhizobium sp.
Lineage: Bacteria; Pseudomonadati; Pseudomonadota; Alphaproteobacteria; Hyphomicrobiales; Rhizobiaceae
Description: bacterial SSU rRNA
Rfam family: Bacterial small subunit ribosomal RNA
Source: RNAcentral
CUCCGGGAAACUUGAAAUAAUUACCGCAUACGCCCUACGGGGGAAAGAUUUAUCGAGGAAGGAUUGGCCCGCGUUGGAAUAGCUAGUUGGUGGGGUAAGGCCUACCAAGGCGACGAUCCAUAGCUGGUCUGAGAGGAUGAUCAGCCACAUGGGGACUGAGACACGGCCCCAACUCCUACGGGAGGCAGCAGUGGGGAAUAUUGGACAAUGGGCGCAAGCCUGAUCCAGCCAUGCCGCGUGAGUGAUGAAGGCCUUAGGGUUGUAAAGCUCUUUCACCGGAGAAGAUAAUGACGGUAUCCGGAGAAGAAGCCCCGGCUAACUUCGUGCCAGCAGCCGCGGUAAUACGAAGGGGGCUAGCGUUGUUCGGAAUUACUGGGCGUAAAGCGCACGUAGGCGGAUAUUUAAGUCAGGGGUGAAAUCCCAGAGCUCAACUCUGGAACUGCCUUUGAUACUGGGUAUCUUGAGUAUGGAAGAGGUAAGUGGAAUUCCGAGUGUAGAGGUGAAAUUCGUAGAUAUUCGGAGGAACACCAGUGGCGAAGGCGGCUUACUGGUCCAUUACUGACGCUGAGGUGCGAAAGCGUGGGGAGCAAACAGGAUUAGAUAC